RNAcentral lists this small RNA (417 nucleotides) under Drosophila mojavensis. RNAcentral describes it as "GI26523". Lineage: Eukaryota; Metazoa; Arthropoda; Insecta; Diptera; Drosophilidae. The record is from RNAcentral.
UGGCAAGCAAACAAAACAAAAAUAUACAGAUUUUGACGCAUUAGCACGACUGAGUGCACUCUGAGGGCUGAGGGGCAAUGGCUGUGUCUUUCAUAAGGAAGUUCUUAAAAAAAAAAAAAAACUAUACGAGUGAAUUUCCGCAUUAUAAGCUCUUAAAGUAUGAUUGAUUAUGAUUGACAUGACUCUUGGACUCUUGGAAAGCUGGGCAAAUGGUUGAGCAUAUUCUGAUCUUAUAAUAAGGAGAUAGAAAUUAAAUAUUUGCGGCUGUGUAACAUAUUCAAAAGUGGAUUAAAGACUGGUUGUCCCCCAUGCUUAGCUCAAUUUAAACGCCAAAUGCUGGAAGUGUCACAUGAGACCCGCGAACAUGCAACAGUUAAAGUUAAACUUAAGACUUGUCAACAGGUAAGAUAAAAAAGA